ACGGAGGAUCCGAGCGUUAUCCGGAUUUAUUGGGUUUAAAGGGUGCGUAGGUGGUUUGAUAAGUCAGCGGUGAAAGUUUGCAGCUUAACUGUAAAAAUGCCGUUGAAACUGUCGGACUUGAGUGUAAAUGAGGUAGGCGGAAUGCGUGGCGUAGCGGUGAAAUACAUAGAUAUCACGCCGGAAGCCGAUUGCGAAGGCAGCUUACUAAGCUACAACUGACACUGAAGCACGUAAGCGUGUGGAUCAUACAG
RNAcentral lists this ribosomal RNA (251 nucleotides) under uncultured prokaryote. Its description in RNAcentral is "partial 16S rRNA". It matches the Rfam family "Bacterial small subunit ribosomal RNA", at positions 525 to 775 of the family's 1533-position model. The record is from RNAcentral.